RNAcentral lists this ribosomal RNA (408 nucleotides) under uncultured Diversispora. Its description in RNAcentral is "partial 28S ribosomal RNA". Lineage: Eukaryota; Fungi; Glomeromycota; Glomeromycetes; Diversisporales; Diversisporaceae. The record is from RNAcentral.
GAGAGUUAAAUAGUACGUGAAAUUGUUGAAAGGGAAACGAUUGAAGUCAGUCAUGCUAGUGAAAAUUCAGUUUGGUGGGUUUUGGGUUCAGGAGUUGAGGCAGGGUCAAACCGUUUCUCUUUUGAACUUGGAAUUUGUCAGAUGCACUUUUUCUUUGGCAGGUCAGCGUCGAUUUCGGAGGUUGUAAAAUACUCGGGGAAAAGUAGCUCUGCUUCGGGGGAGUGUUAUAGACCUUGGGUGAUGCGGCCUGCGGGAUCGAGGAUUGCAGCAAAUGCUUUUGGCUUGUCGCCUGAUCUCUGGACGUCAUCUCGCUUGUAUCAACAUUCUUGGUACCGGUGAGUAAUGGUGCUCAUAGGUUAGAGCGAUCAAAAAUUUUGCUAAGGAUGCUGACGUAAUGGCUUUAAACGA